RNAcentral lists this long non-coding RNA (1302 nucleotides) under Pan troglodytes (chimpanzee). RNAcentral describes it as "long non-coding RNA NONPTRT012962". The record is from RNAcentral. Lineage: Eukaryota; Metazoa; Chordata; Mammalia; Primates; Hominidae.
AAAAAAAAAAUACUUGAUAGGUUAUGAUACCCAUUCUUCAUCACAGAAAAGGUUCACAAAUUUGGAACACCUAUCUUUGCCUUCCAGAACCCCCAAAAGACUCAAGGAUUUAAAGGCACAAGGUACCCUGGAAGGUGGGAGUAAUAAAGAAAGUUGAAACAAGGGGAUUAUUUGAACAUUUAUUUUUGCUCUUCUUUUGUAGGCAGGCAGCUAUCUCUCUAGCAGAUGACUGAAGCCUUAUUGUCUGGAGAAAUUAAACCAAACAGACUUAGAACUGAGGACAGGGGGAGGAUGGUAAUGGUAGUGAUGUGCUAUAUGGAAGACAAAAUGAUUAACAGAAUGAAGCCACUUGGAGGAUGUGCUUUACCAAAAUGAGGGAGUAAUCUGAGAAGGCAUGGGAUCCUGAAACUAAAAGAUGUCACAAAGGAAAACGAGGAAAGUCCCAGGAUGACUACUGUGUCAAGUAAGUAGGACGGAGGUUCCAGGAAGUAGGUCUCUAGGAAAACUGGGAACAAAGUAUUUGAGUACAAUGGAAAGUGUGUAAAUAAGCAGGAAAUUUGAAAUUUUAUUUCUUAGAAAGUAUGUUAUUUAGUAAUCAGUUUUUUAAAAAUUUGACAUUAAAAGUAUAGGCAAAUUGGAGUCUUGUCAGCUAUAAUUAGAUUGGUCCUUACGGCAUAAUACUCCACAAUUGCAGUAGAUGCUGACUUCAAUAAGAUGUGCGCCACAGAAGAUAUUUUUAGAAAAUAAAAAGUUUUUCAAUUUGUUUUUGUAUUUGAUUUGCUUAGGGAAAUCUCAAUUUUGUAUUUAUUUACAGAAAUAAUGCAUAGUCUAUAGCAGUAAUUUCAGCAAGCUUUUUGUUUAAAUUUUAGCCUCUGUAGAAUCAAAAGCAUAAAGAAUUACAGGUUGAACAUUCCUAAUCCAAAAAUUUGAAAUCUGAAAUGCUCCAAAAUCCAAAACUUUUUGAGUGCCAACAUGACAGCACAAAUGGAGAAUUUCACACCUGACCUCAUGUGACAGGUCAGUCAAAACAAAGGCACACAACAGUUUAUUAAAACUACUGUAUAAAAUUACCUUCAAGCUAUGUAUAUAUGAAACAUGAAUGAAUUUCAUGUUUAGACUUCCCAUCCCAAAGAUAUCUCAUUAUGUAUACAUAAAUAUUCCAAAAUCUGAAAAAGUUAAAUCUGAAGCACUUCUGUUCCCACACAUUUCAGAUAAGGGAUACUCAACCUGUAUCUACUUUUUAAAAAUAAUAUUCUGAAAUUUGAUACUGUUUUUCAUCUUCCAUGCUAUUUUUGCUAUCAA